RNAcentral lists this ribosomal RNA (492 nucleotides) under uncultured bacterium. RNAcentral's name for it is "partial 16S ribosomal RNA". It matches the Rfam family "Bacterial small subunit ribosomal RNA", at positions 29 to 507 of the family's 1533-position model. The record is from RNAcentral.
AGUGAACGCUGGCGGUAGGCCUAACACAUGCAAGUCGAACGGCAGCACAGUAAGAGCUUGCUCUUACGGGUGGCGAGUGGCGGACGGGUGAGGAAUACAUCGGAAUCUACUUUUUCGUGGGGGAUAACGUAGGGAAACUUACGCUAAUACCGCAUACGACCUCCGGGUGAAAGCAGGGGAUCUUCGGACCUUGCGCGAUUGAAUGAGCCGAUGUCGGAUUAGCUAGUUGGCGGGGUAAAGGCCCACCAAGGCGACGAUCCGUAGCUGGUCUGAGAGGAUGAACAGCCACACUGGAACUGAGACACGGUCCAGACUCCUACGGGAGGCAGCAGUGGGGAAUCUUGGACAAUGGGCGCAAGCCUGAUCCAGCAAUACCGCGUGGGUGAAGAGGGCCUUCGGGUUGUAAAGCCCUGUUGUUGGGAAAGAAAAGCAGCAGGUUAAUCCCCCGCUGUUCUGACGGUACCCAAAGAAUAAGCACCGGCUAACUUCGUG